RNAcentral lists this ribosomal RNA (500 nucleotides) under uncultured Anaerotruncus sp. RNAcentral describes it as "partial 16S ribosomal RNA". Lineage: Bacteria; Bacillati; Bacillota; Clostridia; Eubacteriales; Oscillospiraceae. The record is from RNAcentral.
CACGUAGUUAGCCGGAGCUUCCUCUUUGGGUACCGUCAUUUUCUUCCCCAAAGACAGAGGUUUACAAUCCGAAGACCGUCUUCCCUCACGCGGCGUCGCUGCAUCAGAGUUUCCUCCAUUGUGCAAUAUCCCCCACUGCUGCCUCCCGUAGGAGUCUGGGCCGUGUCUCAGUCCCAAUGUGGCCGAUCAACCUCUCAGUCCGGCUACCGAUCGUCGCCUUGGUGGGCCGUUGCCCCACCAACUAGCUAAUCGGCCGCGAGCCCAUCUUUCAGCGGAUUGCUCCUUUGGCUGCAUCGGGAUGCCCCAUCGCAGCGUUAUGCGGUAUUAGCAGUCGUUUCCAACUGUUAUCCCCCUCUGAAAGGCAGGUUGCUCACGUGUUACUCACCCGUCCGCCACUAAGCUUAUCUCUCGUCCAUCCGAAAACUUCUGAAAUAUAAGCUCCGUUCGACUUGCAUGUGUUAGGCGCGCCGCCAGCGUUCGUCCUGAGCCAGGAUCAAACU